This 287-nucleotide long non-coding RNA is filed under the name Physcomitrium patens. RNAcentral's name for it is "long non-coding RNA (PPAT_LNC009335)". Lineage: Eukaryota; Viridiplantae; Streptophyta; Bryopsida; Funariales; Funariaceae. The record is from RNAcentral.
UGACAAUUUCUACCAUUGGAAGAUAAAAAUGGAGCUUUCGUUGGCAUCUUUGGAUCUUUGGGAUAUUGUAGAUGAAAGUGAAGAGGCUCCAAGAAAAGAUGCUGAUAUGAAGGAGAAGAAGGAGUUCAAAUGUCAUGAAAAGAAGGCUUUUGGAUUGAUUGCAACCAAUGUGGAUGAAGCCAACUUCUCCCACAUUAUCUCUUACAAAGGACCAGCGGAAGUAUGGAAGACUCUUUGCAAUAUCUAUGAGAGCAAAAACUUAUCGAUCAUCAUCUAUACAAGGAGGA